This 483-nucleotide ribosomal RNA is filed under the name uncultured bacterium. Its description in RNAcentral is "partial 16S ribosomal RNA". It matches the Rfam family "Bacterial small subunit ribosomal RNA", at positions 28 to 506 of the family's 1533-position model. The record is from RNAcentral.
AUUGAACGCUGGCGGCAUGCUUUACACAUGCAAGUCGAACGGCAGCGCGGGCUUCGGCCUGGCGGCGAGUGGCGAACGGGUGAGUAAUGCAUCGGAACGUGCCCAGUAGUGGGGGAUAGCCCGGCGAAAGCCGGAUUAAUACCGCAUACGACCAGAGGGUGAAAGGGGGGGACCGAAAGGCAUCGCGCGAUUGGAGGGGCCGCUUAGGGUUUUCCUGGUUGGUGGGGGAAGGGCUUACCAAGGCGGCGAUCCGUAGCUGGUCUGAGAGGACGACCAGCCACCCUGGGACUGAGCCCCGGCCCAGCCUCCUACGGGGGGCAGCGGUGGGGAAUUUUGGACAAUGGGGGCAACCCUGCGCCAGCCAUGCCGCGUGCGGGAAGAAGGCCUUCGGGUUGUAAACCGCUUUUGUUCGGGAAGAAAUCCUCUGGGCUAAUACCCCGGGGGGAUGACGGGACCGGAAGAAUAAGCACCGGCUACCUACGU